RNAcentral lists this non-coding RNA (52 nucleotides) under Schistosoma margrebowiei. The record is from RNAcentral. Lineage: Eukaryota; Metazoa; Platyhelminthes; Trematoda; Strigeidida; Schistosomatidae.
AUCCAGUUGACGAGUCCCAAAUAGGACGAAUUGAUGCGCGUCUAAACUGCAU